Molecule: long non-coding RNA, 2992 nt
Organism: Mastomys coucha (southern multimammate mouse)
Lineage: Eukaryota; Metazoa; Chordata; Mammalia; Rodentia; Muridae
Exons: 2
Source: RefSeq, a predicted model, not a curated record
UUCUUCUGCUGUGAUCUGAAAUAUUUGCUAAGGAACACAUAUAGUACAUAUAGCAACAGGAUUGGCUGGACUACAGAACGGGAAGAGACUGAAGAGAUAAAAAUAGGUGACUCUGCUGGAGAGAUGCAGAUGAAGCAGGAUCCAGCAGGACAGAAGCUACGGCCUUCCUCUCUUGCAUGUGCUUCCCACGGAGUUCUUGUGCUCUUCUUUCUCAAUUCCACCACAGUCGUCAGAAACACCCAUCUUUUCUGACAUUUCAUCAAGGUCUGUCCCUUCAAGAGGGACAUUUAUAUCAGAGAAGUUCAACCAAAAGGUAACACAGCCAGAAGGAAACAAAGUGACAUUGAUCUGGAUGCGACUUUGGGGACAUGAUGUCCAAAGCACGGGCAACAAAUGCAAAACUAGACAAAUGUAAGUGUCAAAAUUGAAAACAAAGAAACAAUCAAUGGAAUGAAAGAUGUCUAACCUAUAAUAUUGGAAAAAUGUCUGACUAAGAUAUGCCUCCUAAGAGGUUAUUACAUAAAAGAUAAAUAAUACAGUCACAAAAUACAUAAAAUACAUAAAAGAUAAAUUAUGCAGUAACAAAAUUUAAGAUGAUUAGAAAUUGCAAAAGAUAUAAAUAUACACUUUUCAAAAUAAUAUAAACAGCCAGUGAUAUUUGAAAAUGUCCUAAGUAUCAGGCAAUCAUUAGAAAGACAUAUAAAAAAUAUAAAAGAAAUUCAAUGUGAUGUCAUCUCAUAUCAAUUAGAAUGGUGGCUGACAACAAGAGAAGAAUUAACAAGAAGUGUGAAGAGAAAUGAGCCCCUGCGAGCCCUUGUACACUGUCAGUGGGUGUCUGCAUUACUGACACCAUGACUGAAAACAGUGCAGAGGCUCCACCAAAAACUUAAGAAGAGAACUAACAUAUGGUCCAGAAACUCCACUUAUGAGUAUAUCUGAAGAAUAAGAAAGUGUAAUGUUGAUGAUUUGAUACCCAAGAUUCAAAAUCAACUGUGUACCCACCAAUAGAUGAACAGAUAUGGACAGAACAGCUCAUGUGACUGCUAAUAGGCAGAGAGUAGAGGGGAUGCAGAGAUGCUGGUCAGACUGACAGUUGAGAUGAGCAGGUUUCUAGGAAUCUGGUGUGUGGCAGGGUUGUGUUAGAGGUAGAUUUGUGUGAUCGUGAUCCAUACAGAAUAGCACCUGCCAACUCACUGCUUCAUGUGUCUUGAAUAUGCAUAACUGCUCUUGAUAAUUAAAUAUCUUGAAGUGCAACAAGCCACUGUUGGGCUACACCAGUGCCAGAGCAAGCCCCCUAAACCUUUGCUAAGAGCAAGCUAAAUGAACUGGCAUGCUUCAAUGAGAAAGUUAUCUUUGAAAACAAGCUUUUCCUGUUGUGUGUGUAUCACAGCAUGCUAGCGAAUUGUCACCGGCGGGCCCAGAGCUUGUCCACUCCAAGCAUACACUCCAUUGCUGCAAAUUUCCAUUGUUUCUGUCUUCCUUACAUUUUUUAGCCACAAGGUAUAUGAAUGCAGAAAUUCUAGAAGCAAAAAGCUGACUUCAGAGAAAAGGUGGGAAAAGUCAGAACCAAUGUACAGAGAAAUAAAUCAGUCAUUGCUAGUUCACUCACUCAACAAGAUGUUCCAUCUGAAACAUAUAUUCUCACUGCAACAAAUGUUAAUGAGGAUGGCAACAAGGAACACAGUCACAUCGACAAUGAUAAAGACAGCAGGGCUCUUGUAGGAGUCAUUAAUCUAAGCUUUUCACAUCUAUUAACUCUCACAGAAGCACUCAACCCUCCCAGCGAGGGUGGACAUCAUUCUGAUAUCCACCCUGUAAAUGCAGAGUCUGAGCUUUAAGGAGUUUACAGGUUUUUUGCGGAGAAAUAGACAAAACUCAUGCACAGGCUAUACAGUAGUGUUGCUCAUCUUUGCCCCAUGGACUUUCAAAGUCCAAUUUUGUAAAGCUGUCAUUUAAAAUAGCAUCUGAGAGCCGCUCCUGAAGUCACCUUUCCUGACCUCACUGAAAUGCAAAGGCAUGGGAAAUAAGAAACCAUAGCCCUGCUGUGAUCUCCCAAUUCAAAGCAGAAACAGAAAUGAAAGUGUGAAAAACAUGUUGAUCUCCACAAGCAACUAGAAAAUGUAAAUUAAGAUAAGAUAACAGUUGUCUCAGUGUCUGUAGGGAAAUAGUUCCAAAGUCCACCAGAGACACUGACGUCCAAGUCUUUCAUAUAAAAGGAUGUGACAUUUUCAUAAACCUGUGCAUAACCUCCUUUGUACAUGAGUCAUGCCUGUACUAUUCACAGAACCCAAUAUAAAACAAUGUUAAGUUUGCUGUUUAAAUGGUAUAGCUUAAUGUAAAGCACACUGAUUAGGUGGUACAGCUAUUGUGUCUGAGUUGGAAAUGUUACCCCCAGAGGAAGUCUCAAAAAAAGAAACUUAUAUGGAUCAAGAUCAUAAAACUUCUGGCUUUUGGUCAUGGUGUUCAUCACAAGCUCAGGAAACUCAGAAAGUAAAAAUACUCACCAAGGCUCACCUCUGGGCUAAACAAGCAGUAAAUAGUUGCUGAGAGAGAGUCUCUUUUGUGAAGCUGCCUGAAAAUUGAGCAGAGAGCUUCAGGUCUGUAGCUUUCCUGAGUUUUCACUCAUGCUAGGUUGUGUGCUGGUUAGCUUUUAUUGCCAACUUUCCACAAGCCCAGAGUCACCUUGGAAAAGAGACCCUCUCAGCUGAAGGAUUAUCUCAAUCAGAUUGUCCUAUAUUCACAUCUAUAAGAGAUUUCCUUAACUGAUGACUGAUUUAAGAGGGCCUGCCAACUAUGGGUGGCACUAUCCCUAGACAGGUAAGCCUGGGCUGAAUAAAAAAAGCUAUUUAGAUAUGAGCCAGGAAGAAACCCAGUAGAGAACACUCGUCCAUGGUCUCUGCUUCAAGUUCCUGCCCUGCUGUAGUCUCUGCUCUGCCAUGUCUCAAUGGUGGACUAUAACAUGAAAAAUAAAAUAAACCCUUUCCUCCCCAAA